UCUGCCGGUGAUGGUUCUAAAUAUACUUUGAGAGAUUCCUUCUCUUUGAAAAGAAAACGAAUCUGAGGCAUU
Molecule: small nucleolar RNA, 72 nt
Organism: Rhodamnia argentea
Lineage: Eukaryota; Viridiplantae; Streptophyta; Magnoliopsida; Myrtales; Myrtaceae
Source: RefSeq, a predicted model, not a curated record